This 276-nucleotide ribosomal RNA is filed under the name uncultured Acholeplasma sp. RNAcentral describes it as "partial 16S ribosomal RNA". It matches the Rfam family "Bacterial small subunit ribosomal RNA", at positions 1108 to 1382 of the family's 1533-position model. The record is from RNAcentral. Lineage: Bacteria; Bacillati; Mycoplasmatota; Mollicutes; Acholeplasmatales; Acholeplasmataceae.
UUGCUAGUUACCAUCAUUAAUUGGGGACUCUAGCGAGACUGCCAGUGAUAAACUAGGAGGAAGGUGGGGAGUGACGUCAAAUCAUCAUGCCCCUUACUGACCUGGGCUACAAACGUGAUACAAUGGCUGGAACAAAGGGAGUGCGAAGCAGUGAUGUGGAGCGAAACCCAUAAAAACAGUCUCAGUUCGGAUUGAAGUCUGCAACUCGACUUCAUGAAGUCGGAAUCGCUAGUAAUCGCGGAUCAGAACGCCGCGGUGAAUACGUUCCCGGGCCUU